Molecule: unclassified non-coding RNA, 876 nt
Filed under: uncultured Synechococcus sp.
Lineage: Bacteria; Bacillati; Cyanobacteriota; Cyanophyceae; Synechococcales; Synechococcaceae
Description: partial may contain 16S ribosomal RNA, 16S-23S ribosomal RNA intergenic spacer, and 23S ribosomal RNA
Rfam family: tRNA (bases 347-419)
Source: RNAcentral
GUCGAAGGUGGGGCUGAUGACUGGGGUGAAGUCGUAACAAGGUAUCCGUACCGGAAGGUGCGGAUGGAUCACCUCCUAACAGGGAGACAACACAAUGAUUUUGAUGCCUGAGUGCUUUUAUUCUUAGGCCGAAAUCCUGUCACCUUAGGUCGAUCGGUACCUCAGCUUUGAAGUCAAGGAUCAGCAGCAAUGUUGAUUGCUUGAUGGAGAUUUUCAGUUCCUAAACUUUGUCUAGGUCACACCCCAAAAGGGAUGAGACUCCUGGGCCAUUAGCUCAGGUGGUUAGAGCGCACCCCUGAUAAGGGUGAGGUCCCUGGUUCAAGUCCAGGAUGGCCCAUUCGGUGUUGGGGGUUUAGCUCAGUUGGUAGAGCGCCUGCUUUGCAAGCAGGAUGUCAGGAGUUCGAGUCUCCUAACCUCCACUGACCGAACUUGAUUCCCACCUCCAAUUUUUUUGGAGUUGAGCUCGAUUGGAGUGUGAUUUAGAUGUGUCCGCUGGAUGACCCCAGCUUCCUGUCAUUCCAAGUUUUAGGUUGAAUCCUUGAAUUUGGUUGAUAAGAUGCUGGGCUCGGAUCAAAUAAUCAAGCAAUUGAUGAUUUGAUUUGAAGUUCUAGCAGAACCUUGACAACUGCAUAGGUGAGUCUGGAAAAAACAAAGCAUCUUACAGAUGCAUUGUUUUGAAUCCGAUCUUCUGAAAGGGAGAUUGGAUCUAGAACAAUGAAAAUUCUUUUGAGCAAGAGCCGAGACUCUUGAGCGUUCUUUUAUUGGUGUCGAGCCAAUCAGAGUUUGAUCUUGUUUUUAGCAAUAAAAACUUGAGAAUCUGCUUUCAACGGCGGUAAGCGUUCAGGAGGUUAAUUGGUCAAGCUACAAAGGGCUCAC